This 529-nucleotide long non-coding RNA is filed under the name Bos taurus (domestic cattle). RNAcentral describes it as "long non-coding RNA NONBTAT023389". The record is from RNAcentral. Lineage: Eukaryota; Metazoa; Chordata; Mammalia; Artiodactyla; Bovidae.
UAGCUAAUUCUCAGGAUAAGAAUUCUCUUAUAUGAAACUGUGUGAUUCUGUCAGUUUAAAUUCAAAUUUCAGCCCCACUUCGGUGAAAUUCAAGAUUCUGUGUGUUUUUCAGGUGACAUUGAAAGUUUGAAUGAAUUUGAGAACCAAAUUAUUUUUUUAAGAAAUACACACAAGAUUAAUACUUGGUGUGGUGGUCUGUGUGUUUAAUACAUAUUCUGAAUGAAAGGAAGAGAGCCUGAGUUAAAACUGUUUCUCUUUGGCACCUGGCAUUUCUUUGCAAGGGACUGUGUUAGGAACUAUAGUGUAAACUCUUGAUUACUUAGUAGGGUAGAAUAACUGUGGUUAAAUAAGAUGAAAACAGCAUUUUUAUGAAGAAAAUGAAAUGACAGAGAAAGGAAAACAUCUAUAAAGUUUCCGAUUUGCCUGGAACUUGGCCACAGUCAGUAAGUGUCACACGCCAUUUUUUGCAUCAUGGAGACGCCUUUCACACUCUUUCUGGUUAGCUGUAUCCUUGCCUCAUUGCAGCCCU